GAUGAACGCUGGCGGCGUGCCUAAUACAUGCAAGUCGAGCGAACAGACGAGGAGCUUUCUCCUCUGACUUUAUCGGCGGACGGGUGAGUAACACGUGGUUAACCUACCUCUAAGACUGGGAUAACUUCGGGAAACCGGAGCUAAUACCGGAUAAUAUAUUGAACCGCAUGGUUCCAUAGUGAAAGACGGUUUUGCUGUCACUUAUAGAUGGAUCCGCGCCGCAUUAGCUAGUUGGUAAGGUAACGGCUUACCAAGGCAACGAUGCGUAGCCGACCUGAGAGCGUGAUCCGCCACACUGGAACGGAGACUCGGCCCAGACUCCUACGGGAGGCAGCAGUAGGGACUCUUCCGGAAUGGGCGAAAGCGUGACAGAGCAAAGCCGCGUGAGUGAUGAAGGACUACGGAUCGUAAAACUCUGUUAUUAGGGAAGAUCAAAUGUGUAAGUAACUAUGCACGUCUUGACGGUACCGAAUCAGAAAGCCACGGCUAACUACGUG
RNAcentral lists this ribosomal RNA (497 nucleotides) under uncultured bacterium. Its description in RNAcentral is "partial 16S ribosomal RNA". It matches the Rfam family "Bacterial small subunit ribosomal RNA", at positions 28 to 507 of the family's 1533-position model. The record is from RNAcentral.